Molecule: long non-coding RNA, 884 nt
Filed under: Bos taurus (domestic cattle)
Lineage: Eukaryota; Metazoa; Chordata; Mammalia; Artiodactyla; Bovidae
Description: long non-coding RNA NONBTAT017848
Source: RNAcentral
GAAUUCUUACUUUGACAACAUAAUACCAUGUCUUAGAGGUCUAGCCAGCUAAAUAAAAAGACAGUACAGUCUUUUUAUACUAUGGGAUGGGGAUGCUGAGGUUUUAAUGAAAUGGGGAUGCUGAGGUUUUAAUGAAAUUAUUUUCCUUUUCCUGUCUUCUGUAACUCUACAGCAUGGUUUAUUAAGAAGAGAGAGGGAUUUUAGGGAAGAAUCUCUGGCCUGACUGAGAUAUCUUUAGGUGUAGACUUUUCCCAGAACAAAAGCAGUAGAGUUAAGGCACACCAUCCUACACAGUGUAGUAAGUAGCUUAGUAGUAAUCUUGAUGACAUCCUGGAUUAGCAGAUACAAGCUAGGAGGAGAAUUUUUUUUCUGACAGUUGAGAAAAUCAGGAUAUAGUCUGUACACUGAUACAAACACACAUGAUAUAUAUAGAAGAGAGAAAAUAUGCGCCUCCUGCCCAACCACCUUUUUUUGGGGGUGGGGGGACUGCUAUACAACCCAUUAUCAUAUCAUAGCUGCCUGUCCUUUGAGUUCUACAGACAACCUCCAUAGAGAUAAGACAAAAAAGGAAGGCUGAGGAUCUUGAGUUGGGGAGUGAAAGGUGGUCACUUCCUAAGAUACAUCUAGCUAACCAUAAUUUUGUUUUCCUCCUUUGAGACUUAGAGUCAGGAAGGAUUCAGUAGCUUUCUAUUAUAAGGUUUUCAAGACUGCAGACAGUAAGAAAGAGGCAGUUGGGGCAGCUGCAUUGUCCUGACCACCCAGGAUAGUCUGGUUAACAGUAUGUCAGGGAUGGCUGAGGAGCUGUAAGAGAACCCAGCCAUCCCUUGAUGAGCUUUAUUGAGAGCGGUAUUAAAAUUUAGAAUGGUUCAUUGCAGUUGGGUUCC